RNAcentral lists this unclassified non-coding RNA (261 nucleotides) under Hevea brasiliensis (rubber tree). Lineage: Eukaryota; Viridiplantae; Streptophyta; Magnoliopsida; Malpighiales; Euphorbiaceae. The record is from RNAcentral.
GAUUAUAAGGUGGAGACAAUUAAUGAUGGAAUUACGGAGUUCAACGUGGAAUUUCACGGCCCAAAAGAAAGCCUUUAUGAAGGUGGAGUCUGGAAAAUAAGGGUCGAGUUGCCAGAUGCCUACCCUUACAAGUCUCCUUCCAUCGGGUUUCUCAACAAAAUAUUCCACCCUAAUGUUGAUGAGCUGUCUGGCUCUGUAUGUUUGGAUGUCAUCAAUCAGUCAUGGAGCCCUAUGUUUGAUCUCUUAAACGUUUUUGAGGUU